CGCCCUUUUAAAGGCAGUCCUGAGAGACUGACAAAGGGGGUCAAAUUGGUCUGCCGAUUUUUUAGGCAACGAUUGCACCCUCUUUGCAUCAUCCGGGCAAAGAGGGUUUUUUUAU
This is a regulatory RNA element of Anoxybacillus sp. B7M1, 115 nucleotides long. It matches the Rfam family "PyrR binding site". Rfam says of the family: This family represents the PyrR binding site and terminator structure. This RNA structure is found upstream of a variety of genes involved in pyrimidine biosynthesis and transport. The alignment also includes a portion of the antiterminator structure. Lineage: Bacteria; Bacillati; Bacillota; Bacilli; Caryophanales; Anoxybacillaceae. The record is from Rfam.